Molecule: ribosomal RNA, 212 nt
Filed under: uncultured bacterium
Lineage: Bacteria
Description: partial 16S ribosomal RNA
Rfam family: Bacterial small subunit ribosomal RNA
Source: RNAcentral
UACGGGGGGGGGCAAGCGUUGUUCGGAAUUACUGGGCGUAAAGGGCUCGUAGGCGGCCAACUAAGUCGGAUGUGAAAUCCCCAGCUUAACCUGGGAACUGCAUCCGAUACUGGAUGGCUUGAAUCCGGGAGAGGGAUGCAGAAUUCCAGGUGUAGCGGUGAAAUGCGUAGAUAUCAGGAGGAACACCGGUGGCGAAGGCGGGGUCUCUGGGC